ACAUUCAAGGAAAAAAAAUCAUCUAAUCCUAGUCUGUCUCGCAAAGUAAGGGAUGUUUCCUUCUUUCCUCCAUCAACUUUCCACUGCUCUGACCUGCAAAACAUGAUAAAACAAUAAGUGGACAGCAUUACCCAGUAUUCCAUAAUUAAUUAAGAGAUCGUACGUGCGUGGAGGAGUAAUUAGCCAGGGGCAAAAGUGUAAUCACGUAAAGUACUAGUAUAAGAAUUGAACUUGCAUUGGUGUAGAAGAGAGGGGUUGGAUUCUAGUUCCAGCAUAAUUAAGGCUUUCUUCAUCCUCAAAAACCAGCCCACCAUUUGUAGCCAUAUAUCUCUGAGUUAUUACAAAGAAAUUAAAGCUAAUUAUUUCUU
Molecule: long non-coding RNA, 368 nt
Filed under: Panax ginseng (ginseng)
Lineage: Eukaryota; Viridiplantae; Streptophyta; Magnoliopsida; Apiales; Araliaceae
Description: long non-coding RNA (PGIN_LNC008816)
Source: RNAcentral